UGGCGGCGAGCUUUGGUCAACUCGGAUUCUGACAGCGUGGUCAGUUCCUGGCCAUCGACCAGCACGCUACCCUCGGUUGGGCGCUCCAGCAGGUUUACACAACGUAUAAGCGUACUCUUACCCGCGCCUGAGGCACCGAUAACGCCAUAAAUUUGUCCAGCUGGCACAUGCAGGCUGACGUUGUUCAACGCCUGGAUGGUGCGGGUGCCCUGGUGGAACACUUUGGUGAUAUUCGAAAGUUUUAUCAUUGAUUAUUUAUUAUCGUCAUUAAGUUAGUCGUGGCAUCUCGAAUGCCUGAAACGGGCAACGCCGUCAAUGAAAUGGAUGUUAAGGCAUCCAGACGUCUAAAUCAAUCAGGUUUAUGCGAAGAGCACUUUCUUGCAGGUCGAAACAUGCGAUACUAGCGUCACAUGCCUUAUUAAGGAGCUAUAAAAGGUGGCGAAGAGCGUACCCGCAAUUUUUCUUGACCGUGAUGGCACCAUUAAUGUCGAUCACGGCUAUGUCCAUGAGAUCGACAACUUUGAAUUUAUCGACGGUGUUAUUGACGCCAUGCGCGAGCUAAAAAAAAUGGGCUUUGCGCUGGUGGUAGUAACCAACCAGUCUGGCAUUGCUCGCGGUAAAUUUACCGAAGCACAGUUUGGAACGCUGACCGAGUGGAUGGACUGGUCGCUGGCGGACCGAGAUGUCGAUCUGGAUGGUAUCUAUUAUUGCCCGCAUCAUCCGCAGGGUAGUGUUGAAGAGUUUCGCCAGGUCUGCGAUUGCCGCAAACCACAUCCGGGGAUGCUUUUGUCAGCACGCGAUUAUUUGCAUAUUGAUAUGGCCGCUUCUUAUAUGGUGGGCGAUAAAUUAGAAGAUAUGCAGGCAGCGGUUGCGGCGAACGUGGGAACAAAAGUGCUGGUGCGUACGGGUAAACCUAUUACGCCUGAAGCAGAAAACGCGGCGGAUUGGGUGUUAAAUAGCCUGGCAGCCCUGCCGCAAGCGAUAAAAAAGCAGCAAAAACCGGCACAAUGAUUAAAAGAUGAGCGGUUGAAAUAAAAAUGCAUUUUUCCGCUUGUCUUCCUGAGCCGACUCCCUAUAAUGCGCCUCCAUCGACACGGCGGAUGUGAAUCACUUCACACAAACAGCCGGUUCGGUUGAAGAGAAAAAUCCUGAAAUUCAGGGUUGACUCUGAAAGAGGAAAGCGUAAUAUACGCCACCUCGCGACAGUGAGCUGAAAGCCGCGUCGCAACUGCUCUUUAACAAUUUAUCAGACAAUCUGUGUGGGCACUCGAAGAUACGGAUUCUUAACGUCGCAAGACGAAAAAUGAAUACCAAGUCUCAAGAGUGAACACGUAAUUCAUUACAAAGUUUAAUUCUUUGAGCAUCAAACUUUUAAAUUGAAGAGUUUGAUCAU
Molecule: ribosomal RNA, 1393 nt
Filed under: Escherichia coli P0301904.3
Lineage: Bacteria; Pseudomonadati; Pseudomonadota; Gammaproteobacteria; Enterobacterales; Enterobacteriaceae
Description: partial 16S ribosomal RNA
Source: RNAcentral